AUUGAACGCUGGCGGCAGGCUUAACACAUGCAAGUCGAACGGUAACAGGGAUUAGCUUGCUAAUUUGCUGACGAGUGGCGGACGGGUGAGUAAUGCUUGGGAAUCUGGCUUAUGGAGGGGGAUAACUACGGGAAACUGUAGCUAAUACCGCGUAAUAUCGGAAGAUUAAAGGGUGGGACUUUCGGGCCACCUGCCAUAAGAUGAGCCCAAGUGGGAUUAGGUAGUUGGUUAGGUAAAGGCUGACCAAGCCGACGAUCUCUAGCUGGUCUGAGGGGAUGACCAGCCACACUGGAACUGAGACACGGUCCAGACUCCUACGGGAGGCAGCAGUGGGGAAUAUUGCACAAUGGGGGGAACCUUGAUGCAGCCAUGCCGCGUGAAUGAAGAAGGCCUUUCGGGUUGUAAAGUUCUUUUCGGUGACGAGGAAGGUUAAUAUGUUAAUAGCAUAUUAAAUUGACGUUAAUCACAGAAGAAGCACCGGCUAAC
This 486-nucleotide ribosomal RNA is filed under the name Haemophilus sp. oral taxon D10. Its description in RNAcentral is "bacterial SSU rRNA". It matches the Rfam family "Bacterial small subunit ribosomal RNA", at positions 30 to 501 of the family's 1533-position model. Lineage: Bacteria; Pseudomonadati; Pseudomonadota; Gammaproteobacteria; Pasteurellales; Pasteurellaceae. The record is from RNAcentral.